UACGUCAAAUUUAAAAGUGACAACCCUACGGCGUUUUCCUCGCGCGCAAAGAGAACGUUUCAAGAUCAAAACUACCGUUAACUCCGGUUGACUUCGCUCUCCAUCCGAAGGAAUGCGAUCUAGUUAUAUUAAAAGAAUAUAAAUAAAUAUAACUGGAUGUAAAUGAAGAUAAAUGAAGGUAAACGAACGAAAACGAUUCAUAACUCAAAAAUUUGCAAUAUAACCCCGUCAAAAGAGACGUUUCGAAUACUAAAUAGGAUUUAUCGUGCUAUUGUUACCAAUUUUCCAAACCCACACGCGUUAAUCGUAUAAAGGGAUGAUAAAAA
Non-coding RNA from Onthophagus taurus, 326 nucleotides. The record is from RefSeq and is a predicted model, not a curated record. Lineage: Eukaryota; Metazoa; Arthropoda; Insecta; Coleoptera; Scarabaeidae.